This 659-nucleotide ribosomal RNA is filed under the name uncultured bacterium. RNAcentral's name for it is "bacterial SSU rRNA". It matches the Rfam family "Bacterial small subunit ribosomal RNA", at positions 60 to 710 of the family's 1533-position model. The record is from RNAcentral.
AGUCGAACGGUAGCACAGAGAGCUUGCUCUCGGGUGACGAGGGGCGGACGGGUGAGUAAUGUCUGGGAAACUGCCUGAUGGAGGGGGAUAACUACUGGAAACGGUAGCUAAUACCGCAUAACGUCGCAAGACCAAAGUGGGGGACCUUCGGGCCUCAUGCCAUCAGAUGUGCCCAGAUGGGAUUAGCUUGUAGGUGGGGUAACGGCUCACCUAGGCGACGAUCCCUAGCUGGUCUGAGAGGAUGACCAGCCACACUGGAACUGAGACACGGUCCAGACUCCUACGGGAGGCAGCAGUGGGGAAUAUUGCACAAUGGGCGCAAGCCUGAUGCGGCCAUGCCGCGUGUAUGAAGAAGGCCUUCGGGUUGUAAAGUACUUUCAGUGAGGAGGAAGGCGAUAAGGUUAAUAACCUUGUCGAUUGACGUUACUCGCAGAAGAAGCACCGGCUAACUCCGUGCCAGCAGCCGCGGUAAUACGGAGGGUGCAAGCGUUAAUCGGAAUUACUGGGCGUAAAGCGCACGCAGGCGGUCUGUCAAGUCGGAUGUGAAAUCCCCGGGCUCAACCUGGGAACUGCAUCCGAAACUGGCAGGCUAGAGUCUUGUAGAGGGGGGUAGAAUUCCAGGUGUAGCGGUGAAAUGCGUAGAGAUCUGGAGGAAUACC